Molecule: non-coding RNA, 910 nt
Organism: Rattus norvegicus (Norway rat)
Lineage: Eukaryota; Metazoa; Chordata; Mammalia; Rodentia; Muridae
Source: RefSeq, a predicted model, not a curated record
UCAAGAACCCGUGACCCAGCAAUGCUGAACAGCGUGAGCUCUGGCUCUAAGGACCCAGUCUCCCGAGCUGGGCAGCUGCUCUCCAAGAGAGGUCAGACUCCAAGAUGGACUGUUUCCUGACCAUUGCUCUUUGCAGAGGCAAUAUCAAAGAGCUGAUGGACUCUGAACACUAGUUGGGUUUUUCUUUUUCUGGCAACAAAAUUAAACCCUCGCCCAGGGAUUUAUCCGGUCUUUUGCUGAUCUUGGUGUGAACCGAGCAGCUAAAUCCCCGCGCACAGCACCAACUGUCUCCUGGGGUGCUUCUUAAAACGUGGCUACGCACGAGGAGAAAACAUCGAGUCUUGUUGAAGUCAACACACAGAGCUAAUCUCUCUCUGGAGUAAGGAAAGAAUUAGUCUCACUGCAAAGGAUGGCAGAGUCAGGGGUGGUCUCUCAGCUGCUCCGAGAAGGGGGCGUCUUGGGAGAGGAUGAAGUGUGCCUGGAACCCGUCUUAAUACCACUGAUAAGCCUGUGAGACCGUGCGAUUGUACAGCUUUGUGCUCCCAUCCCCCUAAGAGUAGCUCAGGAACUACCUGCUUGAAACCCAGCAACACCUCUGAGCUCACCUCUCAGGACGCCAUUGAGCUUCAAGUCUGAGGCAAAUGAAGUCGGUCAGAGAGCGGGUCUUCCACAGAACCCAAGAAAAGGAACAUGAUGUUGUUCUAAAAGACAAAAUAUCUGGACUGGAGAUGGCUCAGUGGUUAAGAGCACUGACUGCUCUUCCAGAGGUUCUGAGUUCAAUUCCCAGCAACCACAUGGUGGCUCACAACCGUCUGCAAUCGGACUUGAUGCCCUCUUCUGGUGUGUCUGAAGACAGCUACCGUGUGCUCAUACACAAAAUAAAUAAUACUUCUUUAAAAAAAAGACAAAA